RNAcentral lists this ribosomal RNA (279 nucleotides) under uncultured bacterium. RNAcentral's name for it is "partial 16S ribosomal RNA". It matches the Rfam family "Bacterial small subunit ribosomal RNA", at positions 506 to 784 of the family's 1533-position model. The record is from RNAcentral.
UGCCAGCCGCCGCGGUAAUACGAAGGGGGCAAGCGUUGUUCGGAAUGACUGGGCGUAAAGGGCGCGUAGGCUGUAUAUUAAGUUAGAUGUGAAAGUCUUGGGCUUAACCUGAGGAUUGCAUCUAAUACUGGUAUGCUAGAGUUUGAGAGGGGAAAAUGGAAUUAUGAGUGUAGAGGUGAAAUUCGUAGAUAUUCAUAGGAACACCAGAGGCGAAGGCGAUUUUCUGGCUCAAAACUGACGCUGAGGCGCGAAAGCGUGGGGAGCAAACAGGAUUAGAUA